AAUCAACGCUGGCGGCGUGCCUCAGACAUGCAAGUCGAACGCGAAAGUUUCCUUCGGGGGACAAGUAGAGUGGCGCACGGGUGAGUAACACGUAGGUAAUCUACCUUUGGAUGGGGAAUAACAACCGGAAACGGUUGCUAAUACCGCAUAAUGCAGCGGCACCUAAUGGUGACAGUUGUUAAAGCGGGGGAUCGAAAGACCUCGCGUCUGAAGAGGAGCCUGCGGCGGAUUAGCUAGNGGUAAGGUAAUGGCUUACCAAGGCUACGAUCCGUAACCGGCCUGAGAGGGCGGUCGGUCACACUGACACUGACAUACGGGUCAGACUCCUACGGGAGGCAGCAGUCGGGAAUUUUGGGCAAUGGGCGAAAGCCUGACCCAGCGACGCCGCGUGGGUGAAGAAGGCCUGCGGGUUGU
RNAcentral lists this ribosomal RNA (414 nucleotides) under uncultured bacterium. RNAcentral's name for it is "bacterial SSU rRNA". It matches the Rfam family "Bacterial small subunit ribosomal RNA", at positions 32 to 426 of the family's 1533-position model. The record is from RNAcentral.